Long non-coding RNA from Helianthus annuus (common sunflower), 2256 nucleotides. RefSeq lists it as uncharacterized. The record is from RefSeq and is a predicted model, not a curated record. The transcript has 4 exons. NCBI's taxonomy places the organism in Eukaryota, Viridiplantae, Streptophyta, Magnoliopsida, Asterales, Asteraceae.
ACGCGUGCCACCUGCUGCUUUCUCUCCCAUUUUGAUUUCAUCAUUCUCAAACCAGUUUUUCAAAACCCUUAAAAAUCCUACCUCAACCCUCUGCCGAUCCCUCCCACGCAUCCACCCUCUUUCCGCCGCCGCCUUGAAUAGGUCGAUGCUGGAAAAGGAUCCAUCUUCAUAUAUCUCAGAACAGUGGUAUAAAUAUAGUUUUGAUAGAUAUUCCUUGGCUGAGACUACUCAUCCUAUAAUCUGGAGUAGUUUGAUCAAAUAAUUCAUGUGUUAUAGUCUUCUUUCAAGAAAGUAUAAGAGAUAGAAAGAGGGAGCCGGUGAUAGAAAAGUGAACUCUGGGGAAGUUGCGUUGAUUGUAUUGGCGUGUCAACCCUAUGAAUCGAAGCUUAGAGCACGUUGAGGCUCAUGAUGAUGAUCUUUUGUCUAAUUACAAAACAGUGGUGGGUCAAUUGAAACCUCAUAUAGUCGACAACUAAGGUUCAUGACUCGAAGGUGAUGACGGAGACGAUGAGGGUUAGGUUUCAGGCGAUAGAUGGUGUCAAACAAUGGUCGUGUGGAACAUAUGGACGGUCGGCUCCGCUCAAAAUAGGGGGACGCAUUUCGGUCACCUUAUAGUUCAGAGAGUUGAAGGUACCAACGAUUAAGAAGGCGAUAUGUUUGACAUAUAGCCCACAAAAAAUGAUUGCUUUCUUAAUUUUCUACCCUAAUAAGUCUUGCAAGGAACAGGUUGACUAUAUAUUAGGAGAUGGGUCAAUGAAGAUGACUUAUAUGGUAGGAUAUGGGCACAAACUGCCCCAUAAGAGUUCAUCAUAGAGUAACUCACCCGCAAUUAUUUGGAUGUGUAGGAUAAGUAAAUCUCUAAUUCCUUUUCCCAAUUAAAUGGUUUCUCAUUAAAAGAACAUAAAAAAAAAACUAAGACAACACAACAAUUAUCUGAGUUUUUCUUGGUGUUUAUUAGUUUAUUACUUUCAAAUGAGCUUCUUCCUUUCAGUAGUACAAAUGAAGAAUUUAACGUCUCACGUUUUUAUGUUGUGUGCUGACUAUGAAUUUGUCUUAUAUUGUAAAUUUGUAGUUAUGUAUAUAUCAUUGCAUCGAUCUUUAAUAUACCAGGAUUUGGUUGGAUAGGAUGGUGAUGAGCCGCCUUAGUUCAUGUUGUUGGCUGGAGAAAGGUUUGCAUGGCCAAACUUAACUGGAUGCUAUAGAAAUAGUGAGUCACUUCUUUGUAGAGUAAUUUGUAAGGUUUUAAGUUUGGCCUUUUGUUUUGUUCAGGAUACGUUUGCUUCAACACUGAAUCAUGUGUGUUUGUAUAUAUAUGUUUCAUUUUCGGUUAGAUUUUUUGGCUGUUUGACAGGCGCCGCUUUUGGCUGUUUGACAGGCGCCGCAACGCGGCGCGGGCUAAAAAACCUAGUUAGAUUAACAAGCAAAACUUUUAAAUAAGAAAAUCUAAGGAUGAUUGGGGAACUUUUAAAAAAAAAGAAAUAAAAUAAAAUCUAUAUAUUGACUUCAUUCUUUCACAUUUUUUAACUCAAAUUCUCCCUUUACACCAUAACUUUUUCUCAAUUUCUUAAAUUCUUCUAUCCAAAUAUUCAACCAAAUCUUUUUACACCACAAUAAGUAUAACAAUUUAUAUCUUCCCCCGAUGAGUUCUAUUUGUUUGAUGACAGUAGCCUAGAAUUUUUCGUGGAUAUUGUCACCAAAUCCGGACGUGUAGACAUGGCAAGAUCCAGAAAAAAUAAUGUGCAUGAUGUAUUGCAAAAUACAUCUAUUUAUCAUGUAAAGUUUGUACAUAUUUCGAGCCAUUUUGUGUCGUUUUUAGGGUUAGAAUUGAUUACUACUUAUAGGUUCGUUAAUUUCAGGUCUCAAGCGCUAGAGUUGCUGAAAAUUUAGAAAACAUGCUAAGCGAGAAGAAUUACCAAGAUCCGGACGAGACGCGGUUAAACGGAAACUGAAACAACAAAGGAAUGCUGGAAAAAGUUGACGCCACGUCACGACACCAUAAAACACCAAAGCCUUCGCGUGAUGCGACGGCAUUAAAGGGGUGUUUGGGAGUGCUUAUUUUAGUGACUUAUUAGUUUAUUGACUUUUUGAAAAGUUAAAAAGUGUUUGGGUGAAACUAUUUUGUGAGGGGAAAAGUCAAUAAGUCACUCCAUUGUGACUUAUUAACUUUUCCAAAAAGUUAUAAAUUGUUUUGAAAAGCUAAGCCAAACAUGGCCUAAAUAUAAUAAAGAUGAAAGAUAGCGCCGCCUAGCGGGACGA